RNAcentral lists this ribosomal RNA (1026 nucleotides) under Solanum lycopersicum (tomato). RNAcentral's name for it is "Bacterial large subunit ribosomal RNA". It matches the Rfam family "Bacterial large subunit ribosomal RNA", at positions 533 to 2925 of the family's 2925-position model. The record is from Rfam by way of RNAcentral. Lineage: Eukaryota; Viridiplantae; Streptophyta; Magnoliopsida; Solanales; Solanaceae.
UGGAUAUGAAAUAAAUCUUGGUAGGAAAUACUUCUGGACUAGCUAAAGGUGCGGACUACCUACACCUAGAUAGAAAGAUCCUAUGAAGCUUCACUAUUCCCUGGGAUUGACUUUGGGCCUUUCCUGCGCAGCUUAGGUGGAAGGCGAAGAAGGCCUCUUUCUGGGGGCGGGGGGUGGGGGUGGAGCCAUCAGUGAGAUACCACUCUUGAAGGGCUAGAAUUCUAACUUUGUGUCAGGACCUACGGUCCAAGGGAUAGUCUCAGGUAGAGAGUUUCUAUGGGAAAUAGGCCUCCCAAAAGGUAAUGGAGGCGUGCAAAGCUUUCCUCGAGCCGGAGAUAGAUUGGCCCUCGAGGGCAAAGGCAGAAGGGAUCUUGACUACAAGAUCCACCGUCGAGCAGGGACGAAAGUCGGCCUUAGUGAUCAGACGGUGCCGAGUGUAAGGGACAUCGCUCAAUGGAUAAAAGUUACUCUAGCGAUAACACGCUGAUCUUCCCCAAGAGCUCUCAUCGAAGGGAAGGUUUGGCACCUCUAUGUCGGCUCUUCACCACCCGGGGUUGUAGUAUGUUCCAACGGUUAGGCUAUUCACCCAUUAAAGCGGUACAUGAGCUGGGUUCAGAAUGUCGUGAGACAGUUCGGUCCAUAUUCGGUGUAGGCGUUAGAGCAUUGAGAGGACCUUUCCCUAGCAUAAGAGGACCGUGAAGGACGCACCUCUGGUGUACCAGUUAUCGUGCCCAUGUUAAACGCUGGAUAGCCAAGUGCGGAGUGGAUAACUGCUGAAAGCAUCUAAGUAGUAAGCCCACCCCAAUAUGAGUGAUCUCCUAUUCCGACUUCACUAGAGCUUUCGGUAGCACAGCCGAGACAGCGACGGGUUCUCUGCCCCUGCGGGGAUGGAGCGACAGAAGUUUUUUUGAGAAUUAAAGAGAAGGUCACGUUGAGACGAGCUGUUUAUCAGUACGAUAGGUGUAAAGUGGAACUGCAGUGAUGUAUGUAGCUGAGGCAUCCUAAUAGACCGAAUCACUGUUCGCA